Molecule: long non-coding RNA, 1686 nt
Filed under: Setaria italica (foxtail millet)
Lineage: Eukaryota; Viridiplantae; Streptophyta; Magnoliopsida; Poales; Poaceae
Description: long non-coding RNA (SITA_LNC007295)
Source: RNAcentral
AAAAAAAAAUUGAAUCCUAGGCAGCAGACAACGUCUGGAAAGUUUUCUGAAGAGAUGAUGGAAAUUGUAGUUCCCUUGCAGAAGGUGACUCAAAUACCAAAUCAACAAAUUUCAGUAGUCAAUUUCUCGAUAACUUGCAGAUCAGGUUACAUAUCAACUUUUUGCAGUAUCCACAUUGAUAACAGUAGAAUGAUUUACAACUCAGCAUAAUUUAUUUCAUAUAAAUUUGAACUUAACUGAACUUAACAUCAGGAAACCAAUGCCUUGCUUGGUGCUGCUCAUCUCCUAUUCACCUCAGCACAUCUCAGAAGAUGAUCCUCCCUGCCUUGAGGAGGCUUGAAGGUGUCGCCCCUUCUUAGCAGCAAGGGUAGACGGCGAUGCAGUGCCUGCGUCGGGGAGGUGUGCACUUCAUCAGCAGCAGGCCAGCAGCAUGGCAAGGACGAUGGUGACGAGCAGCCCCAGCAGGUUGAAUGCUGGCUAAUCAUCUCCCUGGCUGCAACACAGCUUGCCCAUGUUAGCUGUUAGAGGGGGAGGAGAUUAGUUCUUGGUACAAUGAGGAUUAAGGAGAGCAGGGACAUGGUUAAAGGCUUCUUUCUUGGCUUGCAAUUUCUUUAUGGCAACGACUCUGGAUACAGGUCAGUCUUUCUAGUAUAUUACCAUAACUAGCCUUGGACAGCUGUGUUGUAGGAUAAAUAUACUACUGCUACUAUUUGCUAGUUGUUGACUUCUUGGUUUAAAUAAACAUAAAUUUAUAUUUGCAAUUAAUUUACUGAUUAUUUUUUCUUUCACUGCCGGGGAAAUAUCAAAAUUAGGUGAUCUUUUUUUAUCUGGAUGUGUGCAUGGAAACUUUGGAUAUUCUGUAUGAGACUCUCUUUACUUUUUAACUCUCCUUGCUCACUUGCUGCUUCAACUCUUGUAUGCAUGCUGCAUUCCUAUUGCACAUAUUUUGGAAAGAGCUGCCACCAAAUUAAUGCCUGACACGAAAUUGUUUCAAUCCUUUCCAGGUUGCUGCAUAUGCUAUAUCAGUUCCUAAGCAGACACGGGAGUUUCCAAUACUUCCUUGGAGUAAGCAACUCCAGUUUAUUUAUGCAUGAUUUAUUUUUUUCUAUCCAUAAUCCAUUUGGAAGAAAAUGAACAACAUUAAUUGUAGCUUAGGUUUAGAUUAUUUCUUUGUAUCUAGUGCAUCAAAGAGUAUUGAGUUAUUGCUACCUCAAUCAACACCAGCUGUUCAUGUAGUACUAAUUUAUGAACAAGACGUAUUUGAUGGAUUAUCAGGCCUAUGAGGUUACACAUUAAAACAGCUGCAUUUUGCAUCAGGUUUGCUACAUCAUAUGAUGAGGAGUAAAUUAUGAAUAUUGUUCUGACAAUUCUCCUGCAUGUGCUCAAACUGGAUGAUCAGAGAGAAGGACAAAGGAAAUUUUGAUGUCAGAUGUUUACUGUGAAUAUGUGAUGUGUAGAGCACAAGAAUGUGCCCCAGUUUUGCCUUUGAGUUGUGAAGUACUAACGCCAGCAAACUGAGUACAGAAGAUGUGCCUGUAGAAGACAAUUUAGCCUCCUUGCGUCCAGCGGUUCAAGAUUAAGAUGCCCUGAAUGGCCAUGUGAACUGAACUGUAUGAUGAUUAAAGGACACACACAUAAGCUUAACGUAAAGGAAUUCUGUAUUGGAUAUAUGAUGAUAUGUCGAAG